UGUGAACUCGAAGAGUAGGGCGGGACACGUGGUAUCCUGUCUGAAUAUGGGGGGACCAUCCUCCAAGGCUAAAUACUCCUGACUGACCGAUAGUGAACCAGUACCGUGAGGGAAAGGCGAAAAGAACCCCGGCGAGGGGAGUGAAAAAGAACCUGAAACCGUGUACGUACAAGCAGUGGGAGCACCUUCGGGUGUGACUGCGUACCUUUUGUAUAAUGGGUCAGCGACUUAUAUUCUGUAGCAAGGUUAACCGUAUAGGGGAGCCGCAGGGAAACCGAGUCUUAACUGGGCGUUAAGUUGCAGGGUAUAGACCCGAAACCCGGUGAUCUAGCCAUGGGCAGGUUGAAGGUUGGGUAACACUAACUGGAGGACCGAACCGACUAAUGUUGAAAAAUUAGCGGAUGACUUGUGGCUGGGGGUGAAAGGCCAAUCAAACCGGGAGAUAGCUGGUUCUCCCCGAAAGCUAUUUAGGUAGCGCCUCGUGAAUUCAUCUUCGGGGGUAGAGCACUGUUUCGGCUAGGGGGUCAUCCCGACUUACCAACCCGAUGCAAACUACGAAUACCGAAGAAUGUUAUCACGGGAGACACACGGCGGGUGCUAACGUCCGUCGUGAAGAGGGAAACAACCCAGACCGCCAGCUAAGGUCCCAAAGUCAUGGUUAAGUGGGAAACGAUGUGGGAAGGCACAGACAGCCAGGAUGUUGGCUUAGAAGCAGCCAUCAUUUAAAGAAAGCGUAAUAGCUCACUGGUCGAGUCGGCCUGCGCGGAAGAUGUAACGGGGCUAAACCAUGCACCGAAGCUGCGGCAGCGACACUAUGUGUUGUUGGGUAGGGGAGCGUUCUGUAAGCCUGCGAAGGUGACCUGUGAGGGUUGCUGGAGGUAUCAGAAGUGCGAAUGCUGACAUAAGUAACGAUAAAGCGGGUGAAAAGCCCGCUCGCCGGAAGACCAAGGGUUCCUGUCCAACGUUAAUCGGGGCAGGGUGAGUCGACCCCUAAGGCGAGGCCGAAAGGCGUAGUCGAUGGGAAACAGGUUAAUAUUCCUGUACUUGGUGUUACUGCGAAGGGGGGACGGAGAAGGCUAUGUUAGCCGGGCGACGGUUGUCCCGGUUUAAGCAUGUAGGCUGGUUGUCCAGGCAAAUCCGGAUAAUCAAGGCUGAGGUGUGAUGACGAGGCACUACGGUGCUGAAGUAACAAAUGCCCUGCUU
RNAcentral lists this ribosomal RNA (1203 nucleotides) under Klebsiella pneumoniae. Its description in RNAcentral is "partial 23S ribosomal RNA". It matches the Rfam family "Bacterial large subunit ribosomal RNA", at positions 398 to 1607 of the family's 2925-position model. Lineage: Bacteria; Pseudomonadati; Pseudomonadota; Gammaproteobacteria; Enterobacterales; Enterobacteriaceae. The record is from RNAcentral.